UCGGAUUGAAGGCUGAAAUUCGCCUUCAUGAAGCCGGAAUUGCUAGUAAUGGCAGGUCAGCAUACUGCCGUGAAUACGUUCCCGGGCCUUGUACACACCGCCCGUCACACCAUGAGAGUUGGGGAUACCCGAAGCCUGUGAGCUAACUUUUAGAGGCAGCAGUCGAAGGUAGAAUCAAUGAUUGGGGUGAAGUCGUAACAAGGUACC
Molecule: ribosomal RNA, 207 nt
Filed under: uncultured bacterium
Lineage: Bacteria
Description: partial 16S ribosomal RNA
Rfam family: Bacterial small subunit ribosomal RNA
Source: RNAcentral